AGGAAUGACAAGCAACUGCGCUUGCUUCAGUAAUGGCGAAUGAACCGGCAACAGACAGUCUCAGCCUGAACAGAAUCCAGUUGCACCCCGUGUGCACUCGGCUCUUGUGUGAUUCAGCAGAUGCUGUGGGUUGAUGGAGCGGGUGGUGAGUCUUGGCAGGCCAUGCACCAAGAAUGUCCCUGGAAUGGGCAACGAUUCAAGGAUACUGUCCUGUAUGGUGCUGUGUAUGUGGCCUGCUUUGGCUUUGCUGCUUGCAUCCAGGAGUAGAGUUGCUUGGGACUGCAGUUUGAAGAGCGCGGUGUAUCCUGCGCAAGGAACAAUACUGACAUGGAACCGAUAGCGCACAAGUAGAGUGAUUGAAGGAUGCAAAGUACCUUGCAAAGGGGGUUAAAAGUCCCUGAAGCCUUGGCAGGAACGGCGGAGAGUGGUGCUGUGGUUAUCUGGUCAGCUAUCAGGCAGCUUGUCCAGCGGGUACAGCCUUCGGGCUGGCCUCUGGCUGGUUGUCCUGAGACCAGGGUCCUGAAGGACCAUCCUGUUGGAAUCCAAGCAACCUUGGGCUGGCCCUGUGCUGGUCACUGAGCUCCAUCCUGAAGAAUGGAAUGCAUAUCGUGGCAGUCAGAGGUGACAAUGCGCUUCCCUGAGCCCGAGGGAAUCAGAUCAGAGAUAUCACACACGGACAGAUCUGUCAAGUCCUCAAGAGAGGCAAGUCUGUUGUUGAGAGCAAUGCCAAGCCUGCUUUGUCUCCGGACAUUGCAGUGCACUGAACCUUGAAUGUUGAAGCAAUGCCAUGCUGCAUGCUGGCAGCAUCGUCCUGACGAUGGCUCACUUGUGGUGGAUGCUUUGCAGAGAGUGUGCAGUGCAGACGGCAGUUGAGCUUGGUAUCAGUACCGCUCUCUGCCCGUCUUGAAACACGGACCAAGGAGUCUAUGGAGCAUGCAAAAUCAAAUGGUGCGAUCAGAAACCAUGCGAUGUGGUGAAGGCAACAGUCCAGAUGGAUGCAACUGUGUGCCCGAGACAACAAGGCCAUACCGUGCAUGUGGAGCUUCUGUGCCGGGGCCUUUCCAUGGGACAGUGCUGGCAUUCUGCAUGGGACACCGGUCCCGAAGUUCAGUGAACAGGGUUCUGAGUGAUUGUGUGGUCCAUGGGACCCGAAAGGUGGUGAACUAUACCGUGCUAUGACGAAGCUGUGGGAAACUGCAGUGGAAGUCAGCAGCUGUUCUGACGUGCAAAUUGUGUAGCCUGAGCGCGGCAUAGGGGUGAAAGGCCAAUCGAGCCACCUAGUAGCUGGUUCCCUUUGAAGUUUCCCUCAGGAUAGCUGGGUUCGGAUGCACAGCCUGAGAUGAUUGGUUAUGUCCUGUAAAGCAACGCAUGAGAGGCAAUGUGGGCAGGCUGUCCUGCUCAACCUAUUCUCGAACUGUGAAUGGGCCUGGACCAGCCCAAGCAAGCUUCUUCACUGCACUGAGUCUGUGUCACAGCAGUUCUCAGUAUCUGAGCUUGAUCCAAGGAGUGUGCAACUUGAGAGAGUGUCUGUCCGAUGGUUCAGAGGUGAGCCUUCUCUGUGAAGCCACUGCGGCUGUCUGGAUGGAAUGCAAAGCAGAGUCUAUGCAAGGUUGCUGCCUUAUGCUGAACAGAUGUCCCUCUGUGGACCAGGAUUGGUAAGCAGUGCUGGUGAUGCGGGGUGCUCCGAGAGUGGACUUACAGGACCAGAGUGCUGGCUCAUACACAGAUCCCACAAAGGAUGUUGCCUGCUAGGGAUAGCAGGACGGUGGCCAUGAAGGUUGGAACCCGCUAAGGAAUGUGUAACAACUCACCUGCCGAAGCAAGCAGCUCCGAAAAUGGAUGGUGCCCAAGUCAGUGAAGCUAUCGUUGCCUUAUAGUCCACCGCUGCUGUGGCAGCAAAGCAGAGCAUCAGCGUGUAAAAGGGCAUUGUUGACCGCUGCAAAAGCUGAGCUUGAGCUUGGCUGAAGUGUCAUCUGGCGCAGAUCUUGGUUGCAGUAGCGAAUACUCCAUCUGAUGAAGAGCAGAGCAAACCCUGCUGUGCGCAGUUGAGGACAGGAGUGGAGCAGGCUUCCACACCAACAGCCGUUGAAUGUGGGUCAGCCGACCGUGAGCCAAGUGGUAAUUCACCGAACAACCAAAGCUGCCAUGCUAUCUCAGAUCAAGUGUGAAGUGACUGGUCAGAUGCCAGCAUCCUCUUCCAGAGGGCUGCAUCCUGGAGCUUGUUAAGACAGUGCACAGACUAUCUGAUUCCGUCCUGGCAGGACUGGCAAACAGGCAAGCAAGUGCAACAUUCUGCUGUGAUGGGCUUGGGGUUGAUUGGAUGGCAACAUCCAUGUUGUUGGCAAGCAGGCACAGGGGCAGUGCAACCCCUGAGGAGUUCUCGUUUCCUCCUGAUUGAACAAGCCAAGGCAGGCCAUUGAUUGGCAUGACAGAUGAUGGUGUGGGCUGCUGCCCAGCAUGGCAAUGCAUUCUCUGUGUUGAUGGACUGAACCUGUGUUGCAGAACGAAGCUAUUGUGUGCCACAGUCUGGUUGGCACUUCCUCCACUGAAGAGCCUGUGGGACGUGAUCCCUGAUUCCUUGUUGUCGUACUGUAUCACCGCAGCCGGUCUCCUCGGCUAGAAGCCGCUUGUCUACAGACUAAAUGCAGCUAAGGGAAGUCGGCAAACUGGCCAUGUACCUUCGGAAGAUGUGGUGGCUCCACAGGCCAAGUCACCGGGCCCAUCUGUGUGCAGCCUUGCUGGAGUUGUAGCCGGCAGACCUGUGGCUCGACCAUCGGUGCUGCAUCGUGUUGCUUCUUCCACUACUGUCAUGCAGGUGGGGAUUGCCUGUCUAACAGGUGGUCCAUCCCAGUGUCUACCAAGUGGCUCAUAUGGAACUGUUGCUGUGCAAGGGAAUCUGACUGUUUAAUUGAAACCCAGCUUUGUGAAGGGAUCAGCUGGCUGGUCCCAUGAGGUGACUUCUGCCCAGUGCUCUGGUUGUCAAUGCGAAGAGAUUCAGCCAAGCGCGGGUAAACGGCGGGAGUAACUAUGACUCUCUUAAGGUAGCCAAAUGCCUCGUCAACCAAUUAUUGACGCGCAUGAAUGGAUCAACGAGAUUCCUGCUGUCCCUAGUUGCCGUCUGGUGAACCAACAGCCAAGGGAACGGGCUUGGAUGUGUCAGCGGGGAAAGAAGA
RNAcentral lists this ribosomal RNA (3173 nucleotides) under Trachelomonas hispida. RNAcentral's name for it is "partial large subunit ribosomal RNA". It matches the Rfam family "Eukaryotic large subunit ribosomal RNA", at positions 54 to 2410 of the family's 3401-position model. The record is from RNAcentral. Lineage: Eukaryota; Euglenozoa; Euglenophyceae; Euglenales; Euglenaceae.